RNAcentral lists this ribosomal RNA (636 nucleotides) under Triticum aestivum (bread wheat). Its description in RNAcentral is "partial small subunit ribosomal RNA". Lineage: Eukaryota; Viridiplantae; Streptophyta; Magnoliopsida; Poales; Poaceae. The record is from RNAcentral.
AUGGUGUUGUCAUACUCCGAUGUGAAUACCAAUCCUUCUCGACAAUUGAGAUUGUCAUGUCAAUCCUUUUCAACCAGCGUCUUUCUCUUCAAGUGGAUCCGAUCAUUUCAACAUUCGCAAGAUCACCUCUCAGUUCUCUCAACGGUGUUUGUUUCAUCCGUCCCCAAGUUGCCUUUGUUUUUCCCGCCCACCCACCCUUUUUCCUCAAGGACUAAGAUUUCUUCUUCAAGUAUCCAUUUUAUUGAUGGGAAGUUUCUCCAUUCUUUUCCGUCAAUGUUCUUAUCCGGUGAUUCUCAUGAAGAUUCUAAUGGAGCUUCAAGUUCGUCAUUCCUCGUUCUUUUCUUCUCCGGUGGAUUUAAUUCAAGCUUUGGUAUUAAGCAUACUCCUUUUUUNNNNNNNNNNUUUUCUUCAAGGACUAAGAUUUCUUCUUCAAGUAUCCAUUUUAUUGAUGGGAAGUUUCUCCAUUCUUUUCCGUCAAUGUUCUUAUCCGGUGAUUCUCAUGAAGAUUCUAAUGGAGCUUCAAGUUCGUCAUUCCUCGUUCUUUUCUUCUCCGGUGGAUUUAAUUCAAGCUUUGGUAUUAAGCAUACUCCUUUUCUUUUUUUUCCAAUGCUUUUCUUAUGCCCGUGCACCUCUUAA